This 1364-nucleotide ribosomal RNA is filed under the name uncultured bacterium. RNAcentral describes it as "bacterial SSU rRNA". It matches the Rfam family "Bacterial small subunit ribosomal RNA", at positions 28 to 1381 of the family's 1533-position model. The record is from RNAcentral.
AUUGAACGCUGGCGGCAGGCUUAACACAUGCAAGUCGAGCGGUAGCACAAGAGAGCUUGCUCUCUGGGUGACGAGCGGCGGACGGGUGAGUAAUGUCUGGGAAACUGCCUGAUGGAGGGGGAUAACUACUGGAAACGGUAGCUAAUACCGCAUAACGUCGCAAGACCAAAGAGGGGGACCUUCGGGCCUCUUGCCAUCAGAUGUGCCCAGAUGGGAUUAGCUAGUAGGUGGGGUAAUGGCUCACCUAGGCGACGAUCCCUAGCUGGUCUGAGAGGAUGACCAGCCACACUGGAACUGAGACACGGUCCAGACUCCUACGGGAGGCAGCAGUGGGGAAUAUUGCACAAUGGGCGCAAGCCUGAUGCAGCCAUGCCGCGUGUGUGAAGAAGGCCUUCGGGUUGUAAAGCACUUUCAGCGAGGAGGAAGGUGGUGAACUUAAUACGUUCAUCAAUUGACGUUACUCGCAGAAGAAGCACCGGCUAACUCCGUGCCAGCAGCCGCGGUAAUACGGAGGGUGCAAGCGUUAAUCGGAAUUACUGGGCGUAAAGCGCACGCAGGCGGUUUGUUAAGUCAGAUGUGAAAUCCCCGGGCUCAACCUGGGAACUGCAUUUGAAACUGGCAAGCUAGAGUCUCGUAGAGGGGGGGUAGAAUUCCAGGUGUAGCGGUGAAAUGCGUAGAGAUCUGGAGGAAUACCGGUGGCGAAGGCGGCCCCCUGGACGAAGACUGACGCUCAGGUGCGAAAGCGUGGGGAGCAAACAGGAUUAGAUACCCUGGUAGUCCACGCUGUAAACGAUGUCGAUUUGGAGGUUGUGCCCUUGAGGCGUGGCUUCCGGAGCUAACGCGUUAAAUCGACCGCCUGGGGAGUACGGCCGCAAGGUUAAAACUCAAAUGAAUCGACGGGGGCCCGCACAAGCGGUGGAGCAUGUGGUUUAAUUCGAUGCAACGCGAAGAACCUUACCUACUCUUGACAUCCAGAGAACUUUCCAGAGAUGGAUUGGUGCCUUCGGGAACUCUGAGACAGGUGCUGCAUGGCUGUCGUCAGCUCGUGUUGUGAAAUGUUGGGUUAAGUCCCGCAUCGAGCGCAACCCUUAUCCUUUGUUGCCAGCGGUUCGGCCGGGAACUCAAAGGAGACUGCCAGUGAUAAACUGGAGGAAGGUGGGGAUGGCGUCAAGUCAUCAUGGCCCUUACGAGUAGGGCUACACACGUGCUACAAUGGCAUAUACAAAGAGAAGCGACCUCGCGAGAGCAAGCGGACCUCAUAAAGUAUGUCGUAGUCCGGAUUGGAGUCUGCAACUCGACUCCAUGAAGUCGGAAUCGCUAGUAAUCGUAGAUCAGAAUGCUACGGUGAAUACGUUCCCGGGCCU